UACGUAGGGUCCGAGCGUUGUCCGGAAUUACUGGGCGUAAAGAGCUCGUAGGCGGUUUGUCGCGUCUGCCGUGAAAGUCCGGGGCUCAACUCCGGAUCUGCGGUGGGUACGGGCAGACUAGAGUGAUGUAGGGGAGACUGGAAUUCCUGGUGUAGCGGUGAAAUGCGCAGAUAUCAGGAGGAACACCGAUGGCGAAGGCAGGUCUCUGGGCAUUAACUGACGCUGAGGAGCGGAAGCAUGGGGAGCGAACAGG
This 253-nucleotide ribosomal RNA is filed under the name uncultured bacterium. RNAcentral's name for it is "partial 16S ribosomal RNA". It matches the Rfam family "Bacterial small subunit ribosomal RNA", at positions 524 to 776 of the family's 1533-position model. The record is from RNAcentral.